Molecule: long non-coding RNA, 931 nt
Filed under: Vigna radiata
Lineage: Eukaryota; Viridiplantae; Streptophyta; Magnoliopsida; Fabales; Fabaceae
Description: long non-coding RNA (VRAD_LNC001989)
Source: RNAcentral
AAAUAUGAUUGUUAGUAUAAACAUCUACUUAAUGAAAUUAGAAUUUGGGACUCUCUUCUCCCAUUCUUCUAAAUUCUGUUUUUCCGAAAGCUUUCCUCAAAGUGAAAAGUUCUUUCCCCUAAUCUUCCUUUCUCGUUCAGAACCCUCAACCCUAACCAUUGUUUACACUCUUUCGUAGUUGUCCAUUGUCUUUCUGCCAUUCUCCGCUUUUGGGAGUACACAUUUACCUUCAAUUGUUGUGUAGGUAGGUUUCUGUUGUGGAAGGAAAGUGUCGGUGAGGAGGGUGAUGGUAGACGUGAGGGAUUACAUUAUUGCGAGGGUGUUAUUUGAAGGGGUUUCUUGACGAGGUUGUUGUCACAUUGUGACGAGGGUGUUGUGGUGGCGUGACCAAGGUGUCAGAGUGGCUGUAGCGGAAUUGUUAGCGUGGAAUAACAAACCAAGAGGGUUUUUAAUACAAACGUGUGCCUUUUAAUUUCUACUCAAUUUUACUUACUACGCAAAUAAUAAAUAUAAAUAAAAGAGUAAGGUUGAGAGAAAUUUCCACAAAUAAUUUUUAUACUGGUUCGGAUCUUACCAAUCCUACGUCCAGUCGCUUAUCUCAAAUCAAGAUAAAACAGUUCAGUAAGCACAAAACAAUUACAAACUACAUUCACAAAGAAACAAUUUGUAAAAGUUUAGAAACCACCUUUCUUGAUACCACAAGAGAUGAAACUACACCUCCUUUGAAUCUUCACAAAGGAUGAACCACUUCCUCUGAAUACUUCACGAAGGAUGAAACACCUCCUCCGAAUACUUCACGAAGGAUGAUCCUCUUCCACACACCUCCUUAGACGCACCAAGGAUGAACCAGCUAUUCCUCCGUCACCGUAGUAGCAAUGUACCAACACCACAGACAAGAGUUUCCUUAGCUGAGCAAGAGCACACACUUCUC